GAUGAAUGCUGGCGGCGUGCCUAACACAUGCAAGUCGAGCGGCAGCGAGGGGUGCUUGCACCCUGUCGGCGAGCGGCGAACGGCUGAGUAACGCGUAGGAAUUUGCCCCAAAGUGAGGAAUAACUGCCCGAAAGGGUAGCUAAUGCCGCAUAUGGUCUUCGGAUUAAAGGAUUUAUCCGCUUUGGGAGAAGCCUGCGUUGGAUUAGGUUGUUGGUAGGGUAAUGGCCUACCAAGCCGACGAUCCAUAGCUGGUCUGAGAGGAUGAUCAGCCAGACUGGAACUGAGACACGGUCCAGACUCCUACGGGAGGCAGCAGUGAGGAAUCUUCCACAAUGGGCGAAAGCCUGAUGGAGCAACGCCGCGUGAAGGAUGAAGGCCUUCGGGUUGUAAACUUCUUUUAUGAGUGAAGAAUAUGACGGUAAUUCAUGAAUAAGCACCGGCUAACUACGUG
RNAcentral lists this ribosomal RNA (451 nucleotides) under uncultured bacterium. RNAcentral describes it as "partial 16S ribosomal RNA". It matches the Rfam family "Bacterial small subunit ribosomal RNA", at positions 28 to 507 of the family's 1533-position model. The record is from RNAcentral.